Molecule: non-coding RNA, 22 nt
Filed under: Arabidopsis thaliana (thale cress)
Lineage: Eukaryota; Viridiplantae; Streptophyta; Magnoliopsida; Brassicales; Brassicaceae
Source: RNAcentral
UAUUGGACAACUAUGGCUACUG